GCUGGUAUGCCUCAGGUUAUUUGGAUGAACAUGGCAGACACGCUUAAGGAAGCUUGAGCUGCUUCUGCUUCAUCUGCAGAAAGAAAAGCAGUCUUAUCUCCUUUAGAGAACAAGUGUAGGCAGCACUUCUGUGGAGCACUACAAGGCUGCAGAGCCAGUAAAACUCACUGAUGUCCCAGAACAUCAGCUCUGUAACAUGGAGUGAGACUUCUUCCGCUUGACUGCAAGAAAAAUAAGUCAGCCUCCAGUCUUCCUCCUAUCUCCAAACCAAAGCUUCUGCAAACUUGCUGCUUGCAGAGAAAGCCUGCGCAGUACCAAGGGCAGCACUGAGGCUGUGGCAUGGAAAUGUCAAAGUUUUCAAGUCCCUGAAAUGAGAGAGGCUGCAGGACUAAGCAGUGUGAAUUUCUCAGGCUACCUUUAGGUAU
RNAcentral lists this long non-coding RNA (425 nucleotides) under Chloebia gouldiae (Gouldian finch). RNAcentral describes it as "Erythrura gouldiae (Gouldian finch) lncRNA (ENSEGOG00005006858.1)". Lineage: Eukaryota; Metazoa; Chordata; Aves; Passeriformes; Passeridae. The record is from RNAcentral.